UCAGGACGAACGCUGGCGGCGUGCCUAACACAUGCAAGUCGAGCGGAGACAGACGGAAAGCUUGCUUUUGUCUGUUUAGCGGCGGACGGGUGAGUAACGCGUGAGCAACCUGCCUUUAACAGGGGAAUAACGCAUCGAAAGAUGUGCUAAUACCGCAUAAGACCACAGCAUCACAUGGUGCAGGGGUCAAAGGAGCAAUCCGGUUAAAGAUGGGCUCGCGUCCGAUUAGCUGGUUGGUGAGACAACAGCCCACCAAGGCGACGAUCGGUAGCCGACCUGAGAGGGUGAUCGGCCACAUUGGAACUGAGAUACGGUCCAGACUCCUACGGGAGGCAGCAGUGGGGAAUAUUGGGCAAUGGGCGAAAAAGCCUGACCCAGCAACGCCGCGUGAGGGAAGAAGGGUUUCGGCUCGUAAACCUCUGUCCUAUGGGACGAAGGAAGUGACGGUACCAUAGGAGGAAGCCCCGGCUAACUACGUGCCAGCCGCCGC
RNAcentral lists this ribosomal RNA (490 nucleotides) under uncultured bacterium. RNAcentral describes it as "bacterial SSU rRNA". It matches the Rfam family "Bacterial small subunit ribosomal RNA", at positions 24 to 518 of the family's 1533-position model. The record is from RNAcentral.